Mustela erminea (ermine) is the source of this 99-nucleotide long non-coding RNA. RefSeq lists it as uncharacterized. NCBI's taxonomy places the organism in Eukaryota, Metazoa, Chordata, Mammalia, Carnivora, Mustelidae. The transcript is spliced from 4 exons. The record is from RefSeq and is a predicted model, not a curated record.
UCUUUUUAAAAAAGCAAACGAGCAAAAGAAAGUUGUAGAAGGUUUGUGAAGGGAAGUCCUUGGAAACGAAUUUUAGGUGUGGUCAGAAUGGACUAAAAU